GGUUCCUCCACUAAAACAUUUUUUGUUCCAUGCCCAACCAAUCUUUUAUUUGAGAAGUUAUCUUGCCGUUAGGCACAUAGCCUCAGAGCAUCUAUUUAUGCAUAAAGUCCAGCAGUUACUCAGUGUGUAAACAUAGCAGUUGUGGGAUGACUUAUCACUCUUGUGAUCUCACUGAGUGAGACAUGAGUCGAAAGGUCAAAGCACAAUGAAUCAUCCACUCGACUGAAUUCGUGGAGAAACUUCAUUCCAGGUAUAGUGCUGCCGAGAGUACAUGAAGUCGUGUGCUGUAACUAAUACGAUGAACUUUUCACUUUGCCUCAUUGAAUGAAUCCACCAAAACAUCCAAAGAGAUUAGCAGCUGUUCCUUUUAGCUCUGAUGCCCAAUAAGAAAGGCAAGCCCUGAGGGACAAUUUGACGCUAAGGCUCAGCGAGUUAUUAGCGAGUAAGGGAUAGUGUGACCGAAACGCCAGAUGACGCUAUCUGUCUGUCCUCAGAGGAGUGUCCGUGGUCACAAUGAUCACCUUCUUCUAGAAGCUGCACUGGAGGUCCGAUGUUCGUCAUUCCCCGGACGAUAAUAAAGCUUCUUUUGUGAGAUGACCAUCGCUGAAACAAAUUAGGAGCAUCUCCGGCGAAAGGAUCAUAGAAACAGAACGGGCUGUGAAGUGAACUUGAAAAAAGUCUCCAUUGAUGUUUAAAGAUUCCUGGUGAUAGAAAUCUUUGAAUUCCAGAGACGAGAAGAGCUGCACAAACACACCUGUUCCACCUCGCCUCUGGAUCCUCUGAAGGACACGUCUUUGUCAGUCGCCUCCAUCAAAAUAUCCAGCUUCUGAAAAAGGUGGCUCCUGAGUUCGUACACUUCGAAAAGUCAAUUUUAACAAGUCAGUUUCUGUUUAGGAGUCUAUAAAUCCUAUUUUAUUAACAUAACUGGGAAGACAUCUGCCAAGGGUUGCAGAGUGAGGUGCAAGGGCGAGAAUAUGUUAUUGUUUUAAGACAAGAUGAAUGUUUUUUUGCAGUUGAAAAAGU
Molecule: long non-coding RNA, 1023 nt
Organism: Pleuronectes platessa (European plaice)
Lineage: Eukaryota; Metazoa; Chordata; Actinopteri; Pleuronectiformes; Pleuronectidae
Exons: 3
Source: RefSeq, a predicted model, not a curated record